AGAACGAACGCUGGCGGCAUGCCUAACACAUGCAAGUCGAACGAGACCUUCGGGUCUAGUGGCGCACGGGUGCGUAACGCGUGGGAAUCUGCCCUUGGGUUCGGAAUAACAGUUGGAAACGACUGCUAAUACCGGAUGAUGACGUAAGUCCAAAGAUUUAUCGCCCAGGGAUGAGCCCGCGUAGGAUUAGCUAGUUGGUGAGGUAAAGGCUCACCAAGGCGACGAUCCUUAGCU
RNAcentral lists this ribosomal RNA (234 nucleotides) under uncultured soil bacterium. Its description in RNAcentral is "partial 16S ribosomal RNA". It matches the Rfam family "Bacterial small subunit ribosomal RNA", at positions 26 to 288 of the family's 1533-position model. The record is from RNAcentral.